GCCUAAGGUAUGCUUAGUAAGGGGAGUGAAGUCGUAACAAGGUAGCCGUAUCGGAAGGUGCGGCUGGAUCACCUCCUUU
Molecule: ribosomal RNA, 79 nt
Filed under: Patescibacteria group bacterium
Lineage: Bacteria
Description: partial 16S ribosomal RNA
Rfam family: Bacterial small subunit ribosomal RNA
Source: RNAcentral